UGGGGGGGCGGGGCCAACGUCACCAGCGCCACCGGCUCGAUCUCAGCCCUGAUUGGGAGUUGAAAGCAAACUCCGCCUCCCCGCCCCACACACAUACACACACACACCCUGAGCCUUUGACACUUGUCCCUCCUCCUUCGCAGGAAGCAGGUGGUGGGGGUGGGAAUGGCCGCGGAGUGGGGAAGCAGUGGGAAGCGGCAGCCGAGGUUUGGGGAGCAGCAGAAACGUUUAGCCAAGACCUCUUUUCCUUAACCGGGAAAAUUGAAUUGGAAGAUCUUGUUCCGUUCUACGUAUGAAGGGUGCAUGGAAGUUAAAGAAAGAGGGUAUCUCAGAAAUCAUUGAAUGUCUAAAAUUACAGAUGAAGAAACUUAAGGACAGAGCAGAUGAAGUGACUUAUCCAAGACAGCAGUAUUUGAAUUUGUAUGUGUUUGUAUAACUUUUUUGGCUUACAUUUAACACUGAACAUCAGAUAUCCUCUUAGACAUUAGCCCAUAAUCAAGUGUAUGGAACAUUACAUUUACACACAUCAUUCAUCUUCUCUCCUAUUUCUAAUGUGUUUAUCAUACUUCCACACUUCACUCUGUUGAUCAAAAUAGAUGUUAGGGAAGUGAAGAAACCCAGAUUGUAUCAAUACAGCAAAAUGUCACAAUAUUUUUGUUAGAAAACAGCAGUUUAAGCAGACAUAUCUCUUAUGAACUGAUAACUUAAAUUUUGUAGUGGCUAUUCCCUAAAAAAAAGAAUGAUUGGAAAUAAUUCUAUGUAGGGGUUGCUUGAUGAUCUAGCCUCAAAGAAACUAAAUUUAAUAACACUAGAUCUGGAGUUUGCAGAGAAGAGUUCAAAUGUCAGUUCUGCUAUUUACUUUGGGACUCAGUUUCCCUCAUUUGUACAAUAAGCUAAUCAAAUCAGAUGAACUUUAAGUUCCCUCCCAUCUCUAAAAUCUCAUGUGAUCAAACUGAAAUGUUUGCAAAGGGAUCUUAGAGAUAUUUAGUCUUAAUUCCCUUGUUUUACAAAAGAAGGAACCAGAAUCCUAUAGAUGUGAAAUAAAUGACUUAUGUGAGUUCAUUCAAAUAAUUGUAAAACUAGGACAUGAAACUCUGUUAACUCAACUCCUAUUGCAGAGUUUUCUACCAUAUCUCUCAUUGUCCUAUUACCAUCUUCUUCAGAUCUUGGAGGGAAAGGAAAGGAGACUAGAAAGCUAGCUCAGCUUGGCUGAUUGUUGUGAGUCUCAUGUAAAUCUAUGUUCAUGUAUCUAUUUGGAUUUUGGUCUCAACUUGUGAUUACUGAUUUGGAAAAUUUUGAGAAAUUCCUUUCACCUCCAACCUCCUCACCUCCCCUUCAUAGAUGGAUACUUCCUCUAAUUGAUAAUCUUUAAAAGACUUUCCUAGAGCAGUCAAUGGUCAAAUCCUUUGCUUGGGUAUUUACCUAGGGUCUAAUAGCUAAAAUUUGUCAGAAAGAGAAAAAAUCUUCCUACCUCCAAGACAAGCCUUUUACAAUUACUCCAUGGUGCCUUUAUAUCCAUAUGAUUAAUGAUUUUAUAGCACUGUAUCAAUAAAUUAAGAAGCAUCCCAAGUUCCUCUGUGUGACAGAUAGUAUUCUAGGCAGUGGGGAUAUAGAUGAUCCUGGCUGAAAAUUUUACAUUCUAUAGGAGUUGAGGUAGGGAAGAGAAACAAUGCAAAGGUUCUCAGUCAAUAAAUACAGGAUAUACAUAAAAUAAAUACAAACUGAUCUGGGGUAGAAGACACUAAGAACUCAGGAUUACAUAUAGUACAGAAAACCCAGCAAGAUUUUCUGACAGAUUUCAUUUGCUUUCUCAUUUAUGUCAAGGAUUAUUUUUUUUAGCAGUUUGUUUGAAAUUUUCAUUAUAGCUCAUUCUCAUUCAAAACACAUAGUCUAGAGGGUGUACUUGUGUACUUAAAAAAAC
Long non-coding RNA from Sarcophilus harrisii (Tasmanian devil), 1921 nucleotides. RefSeq lists it as uncharacterized. The record is from RefSeq and is a predicted model, not a curated record. The transcript has 3 exons. NCBI's taxonomy places the organism in Eukaryota, Metazoa, Chordata, Mammalia, Dasyuromorphia, Dasyuridae.